GAUAAACGCUGGCGGCGUGCCUAAUGCAUGCAAGUCGCACGGAGUCAUCUUUCGGGGUGAUUGAGUGGCGAACGGGUGAGGAACGCGUGGACAACCUACCCCGGCGUGGGGGAUACCCGCCAGAAAUGGCGGCUAAUACCGCGUACGGUCCAGGGGCGAUGGGCUCCCUGGAAGAAGCAGUGAUGCGCGCUGGGAGGGGUCUGCGGCCGAUUAGCUGGUUGGCGGGGUAACGCCCACCAAGGCGAUGAUCGGUAGCUGGUCUGAGAGGAUGAUCAGCCACACGGGGACUGAGACACGGCCCCGACUCCUACGGGAGGCAGCAGCAAGGAAUUUUCCGCAAU
Molecule: ribosomal RNA, 341 nt
Filed under: uncultured bacterium
Lineage: Bacteria
Description: bacterial SSU rRNA
Rfam family: Bacterial small subunit ribosomal RNA
Source: RNAcentral